UACAGAGGUGGCAAGCGUUGUUCGGAAUUACUGGGCGUAAAGGGCGCGUAGGCGGCCUUCUAAGUCAGACGUGAAAUCCCCCGGCUUAACCUGGGAACUGCGUCUGAUACUGGAAGGCUUGAGUGCGGGAGAGGGAUGUGGAAUUCCAGGUGUAGCGGUGAAAUGCGUAGAUAUCAGGAAGAACACCAAUGGCGAAGGCAGCUCUCUGGGACGGUACUGACGCUGAGACGCGAAAGCGUGGGGAGCGAACAGG
RNAcentral lists this ribosomal RNA (253 nucleotides) under uncultured bacterium. RNAcentral describes it as "partial 16S ribosomal RNA". It matches the Rfam family "Bacterial small subunit ribosomal RNA", at positions 524 to 776 of the family's 1533-position model. The record is from RNAcentral.